UACCUCAGUAACGGCGAGUGAAGCGGUAACAGCUCAAAUUUGAAAUCUGGGUCUUUUAGGCUCCGAGUUGUAAUUUGUAGAAGAUGCUUCGGGUGCGGCGCCGGUCUAAGUCCCUUGGAACAGGGCGUCAUAGAGGGUGAGAAUCCCGUAUGUGAUCGGUUGCCUGUGCCCGUGUGAAGCUCUUUCGACGAGUCGAGUUGUUUGGGAAUGCAGCUCUAAAUGGGUGGUAAAUUUCAUCUAAAGCUAAAUAUUGGCCAGAGACCGAUAGCGCACAAGUAGAGUGAUCGAAAGAUGAAAAGCACUUUGGAAAGAGAGUUAAACAGUACGUGAAAUUGUUGAAAGGGAAGCGCUUGCAACCAGACUUGCGCGUUGUCGAUCAUCCGAGGUUCUCCCCGGUGCACUCGACCUCGCUCAGGCCAGCAUCGGUUUCGGUGGUUGGAUAAAGGCCUUGGGAAUGUAGCUUCUUUCGGGGAGUGUUAUAGCCCUCGGUGCAAUGCAGCCUACCGGGACCGAGGACCGCGCUUCGGCUAGGAUGCUGGCGUAAUGGUUGUAAGCGACCCGUCUUGAAACACGGACCAAGGAGUCUAACAUCUAUGCGAGUGUUUGGGUGUCAAACCCAUACGCGUAAUGAAAGUGAACGGAGGUGAGAACCCUUAAGGGUGCAUCAUCGACCGAUCCUGAUGUCUUCGGAUGGAUUUGAGUAAGAGCAUAGCUGUUGGGACCCGAAAGAUGGUGAACUAUGCCUGAAUAGGGUGAAGCCAGAGGAAACUCUGGUGGAGGCUCGCAGCGGUUCUGACGUGCAAAUCGAUCGUCAAAUUUGGGUAUAG
RNAcentral lists this ribosomal RNA (827 nucleotides) under Pezicula carpinea. RNAcentral describes it as "eukaryotic LSU rRNA". It matches the Rfam family "Eukaryotic large subunit ribosomal RNA", at positions 76 to 920 of the family's 3401-position model. The record is from RNAcentral. Lineage: Eukaryota; Fungi; Ascomycota; Leotiomycetes; Helotiales; Dermateaceae.